Molecule: long non-coding RNA, 12403 nt
Organism: Cygnus atratus (black swan)
Lineage: Eukaryota; Metazoa; Chordata; Aves; Anseriformes; Anatidae
Exons: 3
Source: RefSeq, a predicted model, not a curated record
CGCUGCUCUGCCUCUCCAGGUUGGCACCCCUGUGGCAGUAAAUGAUACCACCAGCUGAGAGAGCUGAAGUGUUCUGGUAUACGGUGCUACUGACGCAGUGAUAGCACGAACUUUGGGAACACGUUUUCUGCCCUGAAGAAAUGCUACGUGCAGUUGUUAUUCGUGGAACUGCUGAAAUUCUUAGUCGGGAAUGGCAAUCUCCCAAACCCUCCGCCGUGAGCUGCAUCUGAAGAUACACGUAUGAACACAAGGGUGGUCCCAUACCCCCGAAAGCUAUGGAUCUGGUAGCACUGCUGUGUCUGCACCUGACAGAUACGUGAUGAAUGAGGCGUGCAUGCUUUGCAGCGACUUACCGCCUAUUCAGCAGCCAGUUCGAGAGAGGAACUUAGGAGAAAGCAUGGGUUAAAAAGAAGACUGUGCCUCCUUUGGAAGGCUUUGCUACAGACCCCAAGGAGCCACUGUGAGGAGAGACACUCGCCAAACUGGAUUGAAUUGUUCAUCCUUCCUUAUCCCCUAGGGAAGGAUGAAAUACCUCAAAGGCAUCCAGUUACCAGCCCACUGAUGUAAAAUGUGCCUGUCUGGGGAACGUCUCACGGGCUGCUUCAGGCAACCAGCUUACCAAAGCACACGCACAAGAAUUUAAUGAUGCUUUUGGUGCGUGGCUGCAGAGGCCUGACGUGAUGACGUUGCUUCUCCCCUGCCCGCUUGCAGUGCAGCAUGGGGUAGCUGGGGGCAUGUGGUCUGCUGCCCUGCCACGUAGUGUCUUUAAGCAGAAACUUCGGUUUUCUUGGCUGUCUGGUGAGAACUUGGGCCCUUAGAUGGAAAUGGGUGCUUUUGUGUGGGGUGGUGUUGCCUCGCCAUGAAAAUCAAGUGUAGCUGUGAGAAUGUGGGCCGGUAAACCUGUUCAGUAAAAACCUUUGUGAACGCUAAGGCCACAUUUUUAGAAGUCCUGUGUGUUACAGUGGAUGCUGCCUGCACUUCACAAUGCCCAAGUGGCCACCAUGAAUUGUAAUAACGAGCCCCAGCUGCUCCUGCUGUAGGCACUUUGCUCUUCUCAUGUGAGAUGCACCUUCACAGCCCGCCCGUGUGUUUCCAGCUGGAGGAGGAGCAGCACUUGGUGAGCCCCCCUGGCCUGUGCGCUCUCCUCUGCAGCCUCGUUGGGACAAGCCUCUUUCUGGCCUGGAGUUCUUAGGGCUGGCACAAGCAGAGGUGACAGAGAUGGUGAAAACUAGCACGGGGCUGCUGGAGAAGGGCUGAGGGCUCUUUCCAGCUGCCUGCGGAUUAUCGCUGUUGUGCCUGACACUUCGGCCCUUCUCUGGGGCAUCAUUAGGCUAGCGGGGAUGGCCGCGCUCCUCCUGAUGGUGAAGUGCAGAAAGCAGUCGCUGUAGAAAAGAGGCUGGAGCUCUGUCUCGGGGAAACACUGGGAAGCUGCUAAUAUACAGCAAAUAAGGUGGAUUGGUUUCACUUCAGUAUGUAGUGUCUGCCCCAGGGGCUUGCUGGAUGUAUUGCUGUGAUUUCUGGUGGUGUUUUGUACAACUUGAGUAGUGGUGUUUAAGAGGGAGGACGGGGAGCAGAGCGGAACAGAACUUAUCACGUUUAUAUAUAUAUAAAGAAUUUCUUGCCCUGUGUGACUAUUAGAAACAUGAUGAUUACCAUAAGGAACAUGCUUAGCGUGACUUCUACGAGUCUUGUGCUGCAGUGUAAAACACUCCCGUCUCUCAGAGAGAUGAACUUUGUGAAGGGGGAGCAUGAAGCAUGCACGUAGUGUGCCUGGCAGCUGCCAGGUGGGAAAAAUGUCACUCGAGCAAGAAAGGCCCAGAGUCAUUUUCUUCCUAGGGACAUAGGAUUUGCUCUACCUCUGGGAUACCGGGGCUGAAGCAUGUUACGCAGAGCUUGGAUCCGCGAGGAUGAGUUGGUGCGGAGUGGUGAGAUAGGCUUGUCAGCAGCGGGACCUUCGGUCUGGCACUAGCCACACUGCAAAAGCCUGUCUUAUCUAAGCCUGUGGAGCCACCCACUGCUGCAUUUUGACCUCCUGUACAUCAGCCUCGCUUGGUUCCGAAUAAUCACCCACAUCCCUGAGACACGACUGGGGAAUUCUUGGGCCAACCCCAAAAAUGCUUAAGUGAGCAAACCCAGCAGCAUUGAUGUGAUUAGCAAACAGGCGGGCUUCCUGUUCCCCUGCCGUAUCUUCCCUGCUCUCAUUCCCUCGCUGCCCUUGAGCAGAACUUGGCCAUAGGAUGUCUGUGGUGUGGCCUGGUGCCAGCUUAACCUCUGAGCACCCUAUCGGGCAGUAAAGCAGAACUUUUUUGUUCCUAUUUUGGCUUCCUGUCGUUGUGUCCUUCCUGCUCAGCUGGCAACGUGUGCAUCCUACUGGUAAGGACUGGGUCAGGCCUUUGCAAGCCAGCCCUUGUACCAGUAUUGCAGCCAGCUGUCCUCAGGCCUCCACCUGCACUUGUCCUCUCUUCUCCUUUUUCUAAAUGUGUUGCUGCUUUGAAGCAGUAGGGCAUGGUCUCUGCGGAGGCUUUCUCUGCCCUCGGUGCACUGAAACAGCUCCUAUUGAUGGGGCUGGGGUACACGUGAUGAAACAGAGGCUUUUGGUCUCUCAUCCAGGUGACUCUGAUUUCUGUCUACAUAGACUGAAAGCCUCUCGGAAAUGUGUUCAUCCCUGUGGUGUGGGAUAUGACAGCAGGACUGGCCUUUCCACUGGGUUGGGGCUAAAGUACAGCUCUGGAUGGGACGUGCUGGCAGGUGAAAAUGCCUUGUGUUGGCUCUUUACGCUCACUACACUGUGCACCACCGAUGUGAGGCUCCCUUUAUCACCUGUCACGUAAUGGGAGUAGUUUGAGCCGUCCCCUAGCUGAGUGAUGCUGCUGGAUGAGGAGGGGCUGCUGUGCUGGAUAAGUUUUGCCCAGAAAAUUGAUGCUUCCUUUUACAACGCCGAGGACAACUCUCCCGUCCUACAGAGGUGCUGAGCCAAGGCCAGCUGGCAGCCGAGGAAGAGCUCCUGCUUUCCAUGGCCUUCAGAGCAGGCAGCCAGGGCACUUGCUGCUGCUCGCUGCAGCAUAUGAUGCCCAGCAGUCGGACUUCACCGCUGCUGUAAAUGGAAGUCGUGCUGUUACAUCUUCGCUCCAGGAGCUAGCCUGUAAAGGCCUCCGAGAAACGAGGCACGGAGAGAGAUCCAUGUAUGGUCUCCACACCCCGGCAGAGCGCUCUUUUCUUCAUCAUGGAAAGUGAUGUGCACGUCCCGGGGCCGUGCUUCCUGGCCGGAUUCCUUGGCUCUGCAGGGGCAGAGUUUCUUCUGCUGCCCCCUGUGCUUACCUGUGAUCCCCUCCGUUUAUUUAAAUGUACCCUUCAGUAAAUGGCGAGCUAGUUCAGCUACCCAAGUGUAUUAUCCACAAGAAAACUGUAAAAAUUUGGGUCUACAGAAGAAAAAAAAGCAAGUAAAUGAAUUUCUUAAUUGCUAAACAAUGCCAAAGAAAAGACAGUUUGUUUAAAGCUGUUGAGGCCAUGCCUAUGCCAGGUUUUAUCACAACGGAAAAUACUUAAUUUCCUGAGGAAAAUUUUGAUUGCAGCCAAGAGCAGUUGCAGCUCUUUAAAUGUGUUUAUGCUUCCAGGUGAGUUUCCUACAUGUUUUAUCUGGCCUGGGAGAUGAAGAGAGGAGCGCAGUAACCUGGCUGCAGGAGCGCGCUGGGAAGGAGGGUGCGGGAGCACACUUGUUGGAGCCCUCCUCUUCCCUCCGGUGCUGCUCUGUAGGAAAAGGAGCAGUCGAAGGAGCAGUCGUGUUGGCCUCGGCCGUGCUGGGCUCCUCACAUGACACAGGAGACUGCCCUCGCUUGCCAAGCACCCUUUGGCAGCGGCACGGAGGAGGCUGGGUGGGGGCAGCGGGGGAGCGCGUUCAUUAACGCGCACCAGUCUGCCUCAAAAUGGCCAACGCGUGGAAACUUGCCGUUUCCCAAGGGUUUUGUUGGGCCGUUGGGGAACUCUGGCUGCGGAUGAGACUAUUUCCAGCUGUGGGGAGCCAAGUGUGAACUCACCCUGGGCAAGAUGCCCAGCUCCGCUGGUUUUCCUUGCCAGAAAUCCUCGCCCUCCAGCCAGCGAGACCAAACUCCGUUUCUGCCAGCCCUGAGCCAAAGAUUUCUGCAGGGAGGAGGAGGAGGAGAGGACCGAGCAGAGCUGGGACAGUGCUGAGGGGAGACCCUGAGCACAUGCACAGGGGGAGGUAGCAGUGGGUGGGCACCUACGGGGUGGCUGUGGGUGGUGCAGGGCCCUGCCUGGGCUGGGUGGAGAGGGCAGGGUGGGUGGUGGGGAUGCAAGGGCUUGGCUUUCCUCGUUUAGGGCCUGCGUGUGCCUUGUAUGGGUUUUUAGCAACCAGAGGGACUAAGGGAUUCAUGCCUGAUAACCGCGGUCCUUCCAGCGCUGGCAGAAAUUGCUAGGGAAAGGAAAUUUCUAGGUGCUGUUUCUGAUGAGUGCCUUUGGCUCCUGAUACCGUGGGUGUUCGUAUCCGGCUGCUUGGUUGGAGCUAGCAGGCCCCUGCUAAAGAGUUUCUGAAACGCCUGUAGUCACAGCGCAGUGCAUGCCGAAACAAAGCAUCAUAAGCACGGUGCUGUCUGUGUAGCUUUGCGUGCACGCACCUGUCUUCUGGGCCUGGUCACGUAGAGGCGUUGGAGCCGAUGGGGCCAGCGUAUGAACAGGAGACCUUCUGUUCCUGCGAGCACACCUCCUCCAACACUGAUAAUUUUCAGGUGCCAGCCUAUCAUUUAGUGACACGUUACACUGCUCCUCGCUGUUGCAGCCUGUUGCAAAUGGCCUGACCCAGCCAGCUCCUAACAGCUUCCUGCGGGGUAGACUGCCGAAAUCGGAAAGAGGUUUCCAGCCUAGACCCUGAGGAAUAUUUCCCUCCCCCUCCUAUGAUGGCUUGUUUCUUUAAAGCUGUUAACUGGCCAUAAUCCAAUCAUUACUACUGUAAUUAGUGAACUGCUUACAGUAAGUAAAACUGCGAGUGUAAUACCCUCUGCGCUUGCAGGCCUUGGAACAACUUCUGCCUGUGGCGCUGCGAGAGGCGAUGCGAGCGCUGCCCGUGGUGCAGGGGGCUCGGGGCGAGCCUGGCGUGGACCCACGCUGGCGCCGCUAGGGCUUCCCGCAUCGGGGGAGCUACGGGGCCCCGAGCUGGUGUGCCCAGGUCCCAGACCUCGAGGUUGCUUUGGGAGAAGCUGGGGAUGCUUCGAGGCCAUUGAGCACUAGCUGCUCUGCUCCUUGCUCUGCCCGAAGCAGCACAGUAAUGUGGGGGCUUGCUUCCGUCACAUCGGAGCCCAGGCUUUGCGCGGUGCUGCUGAAGGGUGUGGAGGGCACUGCGAGACAGCUGUAACAUGGCAGUACUUAAUGUUUGUUUUAUUUUUAUUAUCUGGUAGGAAAUGCCUACCUUGCAGCAGGCUCCUUCAGGGUAAAGUAAAAUACCUAGUUGCCCGGGUGCCAGCCGGCUCUCUGGACUCAGCAGUUGAGCAGGGUAUUCAUUUGUGGGGUAUUCGUUUGGCCUCUGGUGGGGGUCAGAAAGGUGAAAAGUCUGUUCGGCCUAAGGACAGGGUUUAAAAAACAACAACAACCACCAAAAACACUCUCAUCACAGCUUUCAUUUUGCUCUCGAGCAAUCACCUUGCUGCUUUUCCAGGCCUGGUGCUGGGCAGUAGAGGUGCAAUGAGACGCCUGGCUUGCACCAUGGCUCCCAGCAGGUGAAAGGAACAGAGGGAAAAAAAACUCUGAGCAUGAGUUCAACUUCACGUGCUCUGGAUUUAGCUUGUGAGGGGAGAGACGUCACCCCUCAGGACCUUGUGCAGGCUGUCGACUUCUGGCACUGCUGUCUGCGUACCUGCCUCACCACACAGGUGUCCACUGUUGUUCGAUCUUCCACACAACAUGCCGUGUGCUCAGUGCCCUGUGGGUCGGGGCGAACAGCUAGGCACUGAGUCCAGAGACCUUCGGGAUGGGCCCUGGAUGACUCCUCGCCUCUGCCCACAUCUUCCUGCCUCUCACCGUGCUCACAGCCAGGAGAUGCCUGGGGAAAGGGUGUUGUUUCUUUUUUGCCCUGCAGCACCUUGUACCACAGAUCUGAUCACCAAGCAUGGUUCCCAGACACUGGAUGGCCAGCAGCACUGAAGAGAUGCUAACAGAUUUUAAAUGGACCCUUAGCACAUACUUAUCGAUGUUUUCUUAAGGCUACUUAUGCCAAUUACAGCAAAUAAAAGUUGUUUCCCUGUUUGUGGUACUUGCUUUACAAUCCACUUGACUCAAAUGAAAAAAAUAUUGUCAAUUCAGUAUUCUCCUGUGCUAGUACCAAGCAUUUGGUUUUCUGCUUUAGGUGCUGUCUUGGCCGCUAUUGGCACACCCUGCUUGAGUGCUUCCCUGUCCCUCUUGACCAUGAGGCCUAGUAACAGGCCACUUCAGAGUUAUGCCUCUGUAUUUCUGUUGUCUUUAGCUCCAAACGUCUGCUUUCGUCAUGUCAAUCUAAAAUUGCAAGAGAUGUCCUUUCCCUACGCUCUCCCAACUCAGCAGUAUGCUGUAGCAAGUUUCUGAUGUGGUUAUAGCCAGAGAGAAUAUACCGAAUAUACAGAAGCAUACUGCUUUUAUUAAAUUUUGCUUGGAGUUUGAAGCCUCAGGUGGUACUCCUUUAUCUCUCUUUUUCUGCCUAUAUUUCCCAGUCCCAAAUUCUUCCUCUUCCUGUUCUCCUUUCCUUGCCCCACCUUCAUUAACAGGAGCUAAGGAGGGAGGUCCGUGUUCUUGGCAUCUUACGCUGCCAUUGUGCUGAUACCUCUGCCUUGGGUUGCUGGUUGUUGUCCUGCUUAGGUGGGUUGCUGGCUUUCAUCUCCGAUACAUUAACAAAAUGGUAUGGUACUCGAAGGAGCUUUUGCAGCUGUUUCUGCUGAAGAUAAUUAUUAAAAACUUAGUCUAUUCAUGAAGGAGAUAAAAUUUCAGUGGUGUCGCUUCAGAGCUUAAUUGGAAGUCUCUGGCUGGCAGCGAGCUCUGGCAGCCCUGCCCUGGGUAAGCCUUGCUCUGGUUCUCAGCAGGGCAGCAGCGGGCAGGCUUGAAACAGGGAAGUGUGUGCCCUGGGCACAUCUAGGAUGCGAGGUGUGGAUUCAGUCUGCUCAUCCCAUCCAGGGAAACGCUCCAGGGAUGAGCAGAGCUCUCGAUCAGUCGCUGGGUACAGUGCACACAGAGCUGUCCUCUGGAUAAGUGUGCUUCAGGAGGUUGCGAGGGCUGUCCUCACGCUAGGGCAAAGACCGAGGUGUUGACAAAACGCAGUUCUGCUCCCGUUCCCCUCUGACCUUCCUGUAUGAUGGAUUGGGAAGUCAUAAGUCACAUUCUCCUAUGACUACUUCUCAUGUGAACUGUUGACAAGGUUUUGUAAGGGUGCUUAUUUGUCAUGAAAUUGGAGUGCACCGAACAACUACUCCCCUUCCAAUAGGAGUAGAAAUACUAGCUCAACGUGCCUGUGUCUGUCAAACUGACAGGAGUUUAAUUUAUCCCCCCAUUCGCACGUUUGCCUUCCCAAGAAGUUAUGAGUGGGCAAAAUGUUUUACAUAUAUAUAUUAGGAAUAGCAUGCUCCAGAGCUCUUAAUGUAAUUUAUGUAGUGCUUAUCUGUUUUUUGGCUGGUGAAAUUUGGUACUUCUGCAGCCCUAGUGUACAAAUGUAUUGUAUAACUGUAGCCUGCAAAGUAUAUUCUAGAUAGUUUGCCAGAAGGUGAUGUAAGGUAUCUUCAAAUUGGCAGUCACUGAUUCCAAAGACCUGCCAAAUCUUAACAUUGUGCACCUAAUUUAUUUAACUGCUGUGUAUGCAAAUGGUGAGUGCUUUCUUCAUCCAUUUAGUCGGUGCAGGACUCACUCCAGGUGCAGUUUCACAGUCUUCAGACCAGUCGGCGUGCGCUUACCUGUCACCCAUUCUCAGCUGGAUGCAGACUGUCAGUAAAGUGGCCAAAGCUGACCCUGAAACCAGUCUCUCAGCGAUAUGGUAUUUGGGGCUGGAGCAAAAGCAGAGGCUUCUGAACACCUCAUGCUGGUUGGAAAGCAAAGCAAUGUGUUCUCACUCUCUCAAAACCCUGCCCAAAUUCCUUGAAUUUUUGCAGCUUGGACCAGGUGAUAGCUCUAGUCUGCAUGUGAAAAGAAUAAGCUGUCCGCCAGCUCUCCCUAGGUAGGAAUGCUGCUUAAAGCCACCUCGAGCCAUGCGAAAUAGCGGAGAUGCAUGGGGGAAGGGUUUUGGAGUGGGGGAAUGGAAAUGUGCCUGACACCAGUAAGUAAUGUUGGAAGCAGUGGGGCUGUGCUGGAGGCUUGCUGCACUAAGGGGCUGUGCUAGCAAGAGCUGCCUGCAGAGUACCUGUCCCCGGCUGCUCCUUCCCACCCCUGCAAGGCACAGCGUCUGCGUUGCUCCAGCGUAACUGCUUGCGGACCUGAGCCGUGAGCCAUGUGAACGGACUUCAUCAGGGUUAAAAUGAAUUUACCGAACAGAUAAAAGGGAGAAGUUAAACCUACAUAGCUCCCCACGGUGAGAGAGCAGCAGGAGAAUGGGAGAGAGCGUAAGAAAAUGAGGCUUUUAACUGGUUUUCCUGUGGAAAUAAGUAGCAGUGGAUUUGUGUUCUGACCAUCGCAUUGCCUGGUUCCCCGAGCGCUGGCCCUGGACUGGGGUUUGGCAUCUGUCUCACUGUCAAGUCCGAUGCAGUCUCCUGCCUUCUGGAAAAGAGUGCUUAAUAGCGGGUCAAAGAAAUCCUGUGCAGCAGCUGCUGAGCUGGGAAAGAAGCUUCUUCUGUUGCCUGUGCAGGAACGUUAGCCUCCUCCUUUUAGGCCCUGCAGAGACUGAGCUCAGAGUAGUUCACACGGAUCCAGUCGCUGAAGCUUUCAGGAAACAAAGGUGCUCAGCAAGUGCAGUCUUUAGUCCCGAGAGUCUGAGAGCCUAAAGCCUGGAGACUUUGCCAUGCUGCUUUGCAGAAUACCAGACUUCUUCCACGAGCAGGUACCAGUAGUCUGAUCCCCAUCUUUAAAGAGUCGCAAGGCUGCUUUAGAGAUUCUGGGGAGGAAAGGGCAGUGCUGUGGGUUGGCUCCUUCUGCCUGGGAGCCAGCACUUCCCUCGUGUAGUAGGGCUGGCUGCUCCCACAGUGAGCCGAGGGGGAGUCCCCUGUCAGCAGGGAGAUGCUCUGCUGCAGCUGCUCCGUUCACGGGUGCCGGGCUCUUUAUUCCCCAGCAAAUGCAUGCUGCUCUGCUCUGCUCUGUUUUGUUGCCUGGUUGCUGCCCAUACAGACCUAUAUAUCCCUGGCUUCUCCUGAGUGUAGUUCAAAGUCUGCAGCAUGAACGUGUCAGGGCUCCGUGCUGAAACUUCCUGUUUGGGACUCAUCAUACGGCAGUCCUAAACAGAGAGAAACCACAGAGAGCCGGAGGCAGGCUCCACGUUGUCAGGGCUGGGUUCUUAAGCAUCAGGGAAAAAAAGUGCUAGAGAGUAACCCACCAAGCAAAGCAAGAGGCUUAACAGUUUUGGCGGCUGAGAAGGGAAGAAAUGAGUUCUAAAUGGCUUAACAAUCCCUUACCUGCGUGCAGAAAUGGGCUGGCUGCUCGUGGCAUGGGAGACAGCCUAAUGUGGAAAUGACUAACUUCCUUUAGCAGUUGCCAGUGCAAUGCUUAGGACGUAGGAGGUAGGAUGUGAGGAGGUCCUGGGCCACUAGUAAGGGUGGUUAGGCUUGCUAAGUACCAAGUUGAAUGUAGUGCUGCGAAAGCUCAGUUUUCUGAGUUGAUCUGCCCAAUUUGUGCUGAAAGAAAAUGUUUCCUUGCCAUGCACGAUGCUCUGUGGCCAUCCGUGUAACCCGUAGGAAGAGGCCUGCAAAGACUAGGUCCUGCGUGCCUUGACGAUAAGGAUACCUGAUCCCCUGGGAGGGAGCAGGGGAUGAAAUUCAUCCCUUCCCUGGCUCCCAGCCUGCUGGUUCAGGCCUUUCUCCCCUCCCCAGGUGCAGUGGGUGCUGGAAUAGGGCCACACGUGGCCUUGGCCUGCAGCAGCCGUGACACUGCACCACGCGGCCGUGGUGCCCCGGGGCAGCAGCCAGUGCCCGCUGUAGUGCCCAGCGAUUGCUCGAUGAGGAAAGGGCCAGGACAACCGCGCCCCAGCUCUUCAAGCCCACCCGCUGGUUAUUCAGUGUGCUGUGAGCAGGAUUAUUCCUUCCUGGCCCACAGAGGAGAUGAGGUAGAGCCCCCCAGCUGUGGGAUGUGAAUUGCCCGUGCCCUUUUCCCUGUGAAGCUGCGCACAGACGGGCGUUGUUCUCUGGCGUGGCUGUGGCUGCUGCCCAGCCCUGUGCUUGGGUCCGAAUGGGGCAGACCGCCGCGUAAAGCGGCCUUCCAGGGGGCUGCUCGUGGUGGAAAUGGCAUUCAUCCUUCCGCUGUGAACGCGGCUUUCCAAACACGAUGGCGGCAAGCAGCAAGCUGAGGACAAAAGGCCAGCCAGCCUGUGGAAACGGGGUUUUGCUGUUCCCACUGCAGCUUCGUGCUGACAUGCGGCUGCCAGCAGGAAGAGGGUUAAGCGCUCGUAUCACAUGGCGAGGCUCUGUUUACUGCAUACUUCUCAUAAUCAGGGCUGGCAUCCAAAUCCGGAAGAAGAUUAGCACUUAACCAGAGACCCUGAAACAAUGUGUUUCAAACUGGUAUUCCUGUGAAGCUACGCAGUCUGCCAUCAGCCCUCUUGCAGAGACCUGCUCCUCCCUGCAGCCCUCGCAGGGAGCUACGGGGAGAGCAGAAAAUGAAUGCUUUUAGGAACCAGAGAUAGGACCGGACUGGACUGCAUUCAUCUUGGUAUAAGCUUGAAGCCGAGAGAGUUUUGCCAGGAGUUAACUUAUUCCAUAAUAACCUGAUCUCUUCCAAAAGAGGUUCUGGGAGUUUCUGGCUGGGACGCCAGUCCCAGAUGAAUGCCUGAAGCUGUCUAGGCUUGACAGUGAGCAGUCUGGGAAAUGGGAGCGUGCCUUGUGGCCAGAAGUUUUGUACGUGUGUCACUCAGCCGUUUGGCCAGUACUGAAUACAAGCAGCUGUGGCAGCAGAGAACCUGCUAUAAAAUUCAAAUUAGUUUUUGAGGUGUGGUUUUGUUCAAGAAAGAAAGCGUAAUUUUGUCACAAGGUCUGUAGUUUGCCCUUGCUAUGAGGAUGGGCAUAACUGUAAUAAGCCUCCAUGGGGCCGAGGGCAGGAUGCAAUUUAUCUUCCUACUCCUCCUCCUGCACAAGGCAGAUCCUCCAUUUCUUCCUUUCUCCUACCAACCUGUAAGACCUGCUCUGUUCUCCUCAGGGCUUCAAGUUGUGGCAGCAACCUGCAUUGCUGGUGAUUUCCAAAGCCAGUUCUGAAGACUCCUGUCAUGUCUUAGGAAUUGCAGAAGUCUUUCUUUUUCCUCCGUGCUUCCAAAGCUUUUUCCACCGUCGUCUCUGUUUUAUAUAAGAAGUGUCUGAUCAUCAUCCUUGGAUGAAAUUUAUGCAUUUGACAUGGAAGAAGGAGGAUGGAGAAGUGCAUUUUUUUUUCUCUCCGCAAUGAAGCCAAAACUAAUGGAAAGGGAACUUGCCUCUUGACCAUCCUGUUUGUUACGGGGGUCUACCUGCUUCGGGGCUGAAGGGGAAUGGGAGAGUCUAAGUACAAGCUUGAAAUACACCUGUGUUUGUUAGCAACGUCAGAAGGAGCCUUCUUUUUUUUCUGAACAAAAUUGGCUUUUAUUUACUACUUUGUGUUUCAGCAGGAAAGGAGGUGAUUUCCGGGUUCUUACUGCAUUGGGUACUAGGUGUGACUGCUGACCUGUGGUACAGGGUCUUAGCUGCCAAUAUUAAAACUAUAACUGUUUGAGUCUGUCUUGAAUUAACUUUUCUAUAUUGGUCUUGGUCUGAACUGGAUUACUGCAGGAGAAAUAGAAAACCACUUGGACUUCUAGAAAUAAUUUCAAUUUCCUCUAACUCAUGGUGGGUAUCUUAUGGUACCAGUAAGACAUCAACUUACAGUCACUGGAAUGAGUUUGUAGUUUUUCUGAAACAAGCUUCAGAAAUAAUAAGGUGGUGGUUUUUUUGGCUUUUUGUAUCAGGGUGUCAUUUGGCUUCCACGUGGUUACUAACACUUAUCUGUCAUCUGAAUGUCACCUUCUUGCAUGCACUUUGCCUCGUUCAGAUGGUUCCUUAGUGAAGAAAGCAGAUGACAAACUUCAUGGCAGUGAUGACUUACAGAUUACACAGAAGCUGCACGUACUGCCAUUUGGGUUAUCUAUUUCUCGUCAGAGUUGUUUUUUUUAAUGUAACAUGACGCAGGAUCCAGGAUCUGCUGGUUUUAUUAUUCUUACCAUACCCAUGCCUGCGUAUAUUGCAGUGCUAAUAAUUUAGGCGUUACGUAGGUAAAGAAUAAAAUCUCCUGGGUGUCACAG